UCACUUCUGUACAUUUACAAUCAUUGGUAUGACAUCAGUCGGUAAACCGUGUGAGAACUUUAGAGACGGAUCCAUUAGUGUCUAUACUCGAGUAUAUCCUUAUUUAAGUUGGAUAGAAAGCAUUGUAUGGCCAGGACAGAAUGCAAGCGAAUAAAUUUAUCAUUUUCAUUCAC
Molecule: long non-coding RNA, 173 nt
Organism: Bradysia coprophila
Lineage: Eukaryota; Metazoa; Arthropoda; Insecta; Diptera; Sciaridae
Source: RefSeq, a predicted model, not a curated record